CAGCAGGGCUUCAGUUGCUCUCUCAGAGAACCACUCAGCGGGGAAGACCAGCGCAUACUCUGUAUAACAGCAGUGUGGUUGUACAUCAACUGAUCCAUACCUGGAGGGACAAGGGAGCACAUAGCAUUUCAGGUGUGGGAGAAAUAACGUGUACAAACUUUUUACCAUACAGACAGAGUUGAUAUAAGCUUUGUAAGAAAAAAAGUGAACGACCUGAAUUCGAACUCGUGGAUUAAAGCCUUCUCAGGCUUCUCAAGCCAACACGUUGACUUUGGACUACGGCGCCACCUGGUUGGACUACGGCGCCACCUGAUUGGACUACAGCGCCACCUGAUUGGACUACGGCGCCACCUGGUUGGACUACAG
This is a long non-coding RNA of Biomphalaria glabrata, 366 nucleotides long. RefSeq lists it as uncharacterized. The transcript is spliced from 3 exons. Lineage: Eukaryota; Metazoa; Mollusca; Gastropoda; Planorbidae. The record is from RefSeq and is a predicted model, not a curated record.